UACGUAGGUGGCAAGCGUUGUCCGGAAUUAUUGGGCGUAAAGCGCGCGCAGGCGGUCCUUUAAGACUGAUGUGAAAGCCCACGGCUCAACCGUGGAGGGUCAUUGGAAACUGGGGGACUUGAGUGCAGGAGAGAAGAGUGGAAUUCCACGUGUAGCGGUGAAAUGCGUAGAGAUGUGGAGGAACACCAGUGGCGAAGGCGACUCUUUGGCCUGUAACUGACGCUGAGGCGCGAAAGCGUGGGGAGCAAACAGG
Molecule: ribosomal RNA, 253 nt
Filed under: uncultured bacterium
Lineage: Bacteria
Description: partial 16S ribosomal RNA
Rfam family: Bacterial small subunit ribosomal RNA
Source: RNAcentral